AACGAACGCUGGCGGCAUGCCUAACACAUGCAAGUCGAACGAGACCUUCGGGUCUAGUGGCGCACGGGUGCGUAACGCGUGGGAACCUGCCCUUAGGUUCGGAAUAACUCCCCGAAAGGGGUGCUAAUACCGGAUAAUGUCUUCGGACCAAAGAUUUAUCGCCUUUGGAUGGGCCCGCGUUGGAUUAGCUAGUUGGUAGGGUAAAAGCCUACCAAGGCGACGAUCCAUAGCUGGUCUGAGAGGAUGAUCAGCCACACUGGGACUGAGGCACGGCCCAGACUCCUACGGGAGGCAGCAGUGGGGAAUAUUGGACAAUGGGCGAAAGCCUGAUCCAGCAAUGCCGCGUGAGUGAUGAAGGCCUUAGGGUUGUAAAGCUCUUUUACCCGGGAUGAUAAUGACAGUACCGGGAGAAUAAACUCCGGCUAACUCCGU
RNAcentral lists this ribosomal RNA (432 nucleotides) under uncultured bacterium. RNAcentral describes it as "partial 16S ribosomal RNA". It matches the Rfam family "Bacterial small subunit ribosomal RNA", at positions 29 to 506 of the family's 1533-position model. The record is from RNAcentral.